UUAGAUGCGAGAGUAGAGCAUAUCAAUAAGCGGAGGAAAAGAAACUAACAAGGAUUCCCUUAGUAACGGCGAGUGAAGCGGGAAGAGCUCAAAUUUGAAAUCUUCAAGGUUCUACCUUGACGAAUUGUAGUUUAAAGAAGUGUUUUCUGUUAGAUGAGUAGCAAAAGUUCCUUGGAAUGGGACAUCAUAGAGGGUGAGAAUCCCGUAUUUGGUUAUUCAUUCUAGCUUUGUGAUACACUUUCAAAGAGUCGGAUUGUUUGGGAAUGCAGUCCAAAAUGGGUGGUAAAUUUCAUCUAAAGCUAAAUAUUGGCGAGAGGACCGAUAGCGAACAAGUACCGUGAGGGAAAGAUGAAAAGAACUUUGAAAAGAGAGUUAAACAGUACGUGAAAUUGUCAAAAGGGAAGCGUUUGACACCAGUGUUGUUUUUCCGAAAAUCAAUUACGAAUGGCUUGAUUUUGUGUUGUAUUGACCUUAUCAGCUUUCUGCACUUUUUUUCGAGUCUUUCUUAAUGCACUUUUCGGUUAACAAGUCAACAUCAAUUUCUUUUGUUGUAAAAGAGUAUUCGGAAGGUGGCUUUCUUUUCGGAGAAAGUGUUUAUAGCCCUAUACUUCUACAAUCGGAGAGAUUGAGGUCUGCAGCGUAGAUCCUUCGGGGUUAGAUACACUUGUGCUAAGUUGUAGCUUUUCAUAGACAACUUGUUGACUAUGUUUAGUCAUGCGGCUUACUCGCUUGUGCUAUUUUACCUACGCUUAGGAUGUUGAGCGCAUGUCUCUCUCU
RNAcentral lists this ribosomal RNA (777 nucleotides) under uncultured Neocallimastigales. Its description in RNAcentral is "partial large subunit ribosomal RNA". It matches the Rfam family "Eukaryotic large subunit ribosomal RNA", at positions 21 to 616 of the family's 3401-position model. Lineage: Eukaryota; Fungi; Neocallimastigomycota; Neocallimastigomycetes; Neocallimastigales. The record is from RNAcentral.